RNAcentral lists this ribosomal RNA (253 nucleotides) under uncultured bacterium. Its description in RNAcentral is "partial 16S ribosomal RNA". It matches the Rfam family "Bacterial small subunit ribosomal RNA", at positions 524 to 776 of the family's 1533-position model. The record is from RNAcentral.
UACGUAGGGUGCGAGCGUUAAUCGGAGUUACUGGGCGUAAAGCGUGCGCAGGCGGUUUUGUAAGCCAGGUGUGAAAUCCCCGGGCUCAACCUGGGAAUGGCAUUUGGGACUGCAAGGCUGGAGUGCGGCAGAGGAGACUGGAAUUCCUGGUGUAGCAGUGAAAUGCGUAGAUAUCAGGAGGAAUACCGAUGGCGAAGGCAGGUCUCUGGGCUGACACUGACGCUCAUGCACGAAAGCGUGGGGAGCAAACAGG